GAGUGGCGGACGGGUGAGUAACGCGUAGGAAUCUGCCUUGAAGAGGGGGACAACCCGAGGAAACUCGGGCUAAUACCGCAUAUAAUCGAGAGAUGAAAGUUGCCUUGCAGCGAUGCGGGUGACGCUUUAAGAGGAGCCUGCGUCCGAUUAGCUAGUUGGUGGGGUAAAAGCCUACCAAGGCGAUGAUCGGUAGCUGGUCUGAGAGGAUGAUCAGCCACACUGGGACUGAGACACGGCCCAGACUCC
RNAcentral lists this ribosomal RNA (246 nucleotides) under uncultured bacterium. RNAcentral describes it as "partial 16S ribosomal RNA". It matches the Rfam family "Bacterial small subunit ribosomal RNA", at positions 93 to 339 of the family's 1533-position model. The record is from RNAcentral.